GUGCCAGCAGCCGCGGUAAAACGUAGGAGCCAAGCGUUAUCCGAAUUCACUGGGCGUAAAGCGUGUGCAGGCGGCAUUAUAAGUUGGAUGUGAAAUCUCCUGGCUCAACUGGGAGAGGCCGUUCAAUACUGUAAAGCUCGAGGGCAACAGAGGGAGGUGGAAUUCCCGGUGUAGUGGUGAAAUGCGUAGAUAUCGGGAGGAACACCAGUGGCGAAAGCGGCCUCCUGGGUUGCACCUGACGCUCAGACACGAAAGCUAGGGGAGCGAACGGGAUUAGAAACCCCGGUAGUCCUAGCCGUAAACGAUGUAGACUUGGUGUCGGCGGGGUAAAAGCCGUCGGUGCCGCAGCCAACGCGAUAAGUCUACCGCCUGGGGACUACGGCCGCAAGGUUAAA
RNAcentral lists this ribosomal RNA (395 nucleotides) under uncultured bacterium. Its description in RNAcentral is "bacterial SSU rRNA". It matches the Rfam family "Bacterial small subunit ribosomal RNA", at positions 505 to 898 of the family's 1533-position model. The record is from RNAcentral.